This 73-nucleotide transfer RNA is filed under the name Lachnospiraceae bacterium. RNAcentral's name for it is "tRNA-Val". It matches the Rfam family "tRNA". From Rfam's summary of the family: Transfer RNA (tRNA) molecules are approximately 80 nucleotides in length. RNAcentral also lists the same sequence under 1 other name. The record is from RNAcentral. Lineage: Bacteria; Bacillati; Bacillota; Clostridia; Lachnospirales; Lachnospiraceae.
GCGGUCUUAGCUCAGCUGGGAGAGCGCUUGCUUGACGUGCAGGAGGUCAUCGGUUCGAGUCCGGUAGACCGCA